CCAUUAGAGCUUUACGUAAUUUGUGGGCGUCGACUUACGAUGAAAAAUUGCAAAAACUACUAUUACAGGUCACUUAUACGACGAGAUGGUUCGGUAAGGCAUUAUCUUCAAGUUUUAAGCUCAAUUAGGAUUCUUUAAUCACACGUUCGCAAACAUCCGCAAACGGUAGCUACUGACUACAUUGCGGUGAGGUUAAUUUCAACUAGUGAUCCUUUAUAGAGAGAUAAGCGGAAAUAAAAUGGAAUGAUUUGGCAACAGACCAACAGUGCUGAUUUUGCUCGGCGUCGAGAAUAAUAUUGUAACACGCUUUGAGUUACAUCUCGCAUAGAAAUUUACCGCAUCUGAAAUAGUUCAAACCGUAAUGCAACCAAUGGUCGUUCUGUUACCUAUUUAUUAUACAUUUCAUGUAUGGUUCAUUGUAUAUGGUAGAAUAAUAGAACAUCUAGUUGAUAUUACUGUCACUUGUAAAAUUAUUGUCCAUUUAUUGUUCGAAAUGGUCCCACUAUGAGCAUGCAUUUUCAAUCCUCAACUGAACCAUAGCUAUUGAUGUGCCGACUUCAGUCCGGCUUCGAAUCGGCCGUGUGUUUGUUUACGAAAUUAGAUUUUUGCAAAUUUCCCUUUCAAAUUAUCGUUUUUCGCUUGUUUGUAGCUUAAAACUCGGUAUUAAAUGUUAGAAUUCUGUACAAAAUGUUUACAAGGAAUACUACACUCAUGAAGAACAUUCCGGAUCAUCAUAAUUGUGCUUCGAAAAUGUAUUUCGUUUGCGGCAAUCAUCUAUGGAUUAUAUGCGGCUGAUGAAUCUACAGAGGAGGCUAUGGGGCACCCGGAAUAUAUCAAGCAGAUCCGAAACAUAAUUCUGAUACAGAUUGGUUGACCUACCGGCUCCCGGAUCUUUGUUGAACUUCCUCAGAAACAGUUUUCAUCUACGUUCAUUAUGUUAUGCGUACUGGCGAAAUAAAUCGUUGUGUCCCAUUAUUGCA
Aedes aegypti (yellow fever mosquito) is the source of this 980-nucleotide long non-coding RNA. RefSeq lists it as uncharacterized. The transcript has 2 exons. The record is from RefSeq and is a predicted model, not a curated record. Lineage: Eukaryota; Metazoa; Arthropoda; Insecta; Diptera; Culicidae.